CCUACGGGGGGCAGCAGUGAGGAAUAUUGGUCAAUGGACGCGAGUCUGAACCAGCCAUGCAGCGUGCAGGAUGACGGCUCUAUGAGUUGUAAACUUCUUUUAUACGGGAGUAAACCCCGAUACGUGUAUCGUGUUGAAAGUAUCUUACGAAUAAGGAUCGGCUAACUCCGUGCCAGCAGCCGCGGUAAUACGGAGGAUCCGAGCGUUAUCCGGAUUUAUUGGGUUUAAAGGGUGCGUAGGCGGUUUGAUAAGUUAGAGGUGAAAUGUCGGGGCUCAACCCCGAAACUGCCUCUAAUACUGUUGGACUAGAGAAUAGUUGCGGUAGGCGGAAUGCAUGGUGUAGCGGUGAAAUGCUUAGAGAUCACACAGAACACCGAUUGCGAAGGCAGCUUACCAAACUAUAUCUGACGUUGAGGCACGAAAGCGUGGGUAGCAAACAGGAUUAGAUACCCCAGUAGUC
RNAcentral lists this ribosomal RNA (460 nucleotides) under uncultured bacterium. RNAcentral's name for it is "partial 16S ribosomal RNA". It matches the Rfam family "Bacterial small subunit ribosomal RNA", at positions 338 to 795 of the family's 1533-position model. The record is from RNAcentral.